GAAAGCCUAGAUCUGAAUUCUAGCGCAGCAAUAGGUUCACAAUAUAUUUGGAAAAAGGAUAAUGUAAUUUUUGCUGCAAGGACUUUGCAUAACAGUAAUAAUAAUACUUUUCAUCACACUUAGGUUUCAAAGCCUAUUCAUGUGAAUUAUGUGCUGUGCUUCUCGUUAACCUCCUGCAAAUCUAAUAUAAUGGAGACACAGAACAUAAUAGUAGA
Molecule: long non-coding RNA, 215 nt
Filed under: Homo sapiens (human)
Lineage: Eukaryota; Metazoa; Chordata; Mammalia; Primates; Hominidae
Description: non-protein coding lnc-IRF4-10:1
Source: RNAcentral